RNAcentral lists this small RNA (28 nucleotides) under Bombyx mori (domestic silkworm). Its description in RNAcentral is "ovarian small RNA-25441". The record is from RNAcentral. Lineage: Eukaryota; Metazoa; Arthropoda; Insecta; Lepidoptera; Bombycidae.
UCACUGCUGUGGGACCUGUACAGGCAUG